This 1751-nucleotide long non-coding RNA is filed under the name Vitis vinifera (wine grape). RNAcentral describes it as "long non-coding RNA (VVIN_LNC005622)". Lineage: Eukaryota; Viridiplantae; Streptophyta; Magnoliopsida; Vitales; Vitaceae. The record is from RNAcentral.
CAUCAAAGACAUGGAAUUUGAGUAGAUCUUAAAUGGUGUUAGAUUUAAUUGUUAUUUGCAACUUUCUUCAUCUGAAUUUCAGUGGGUAGAGGAGAAAACAAUAGGUCGCAUACCAGCCAGCAGUGUUACGUCUAUUUCUAUCCAACUUUUAAGGAAAGGUGGACCUGAUGCUGUUUGCAUGCAUCUUUGUUCUUUGCAAAAGGUACAAAUAAUAUAUCUCUAUGUGAAGUAUUAUUUUGUUGACUUAUUUGCAUGCCUUUAUACAUGUCAAACUGUAUAUAAAAGCAGAUAUGUUGAAUUCCUUUUCCAUAUUUGGCAUUUUUUUAUGCUUAUGAGAAUUCUGUGGAACCCUGCUUUGAGGUUGUGUAAUUCAUGGAUUGAGUUAUUAUUUCUACCUAGAUGCCUUAAUGUUGUUGGUGAAAAAAUGCUACUUCAAUUUAUUUUUUUCCCUUUUUUUCUCUCAAGAUAAGAUGGGAAACCAUGCCUUUAUUAUAUUAGAUAAAAGGAAAAGUUUUGCACAAAAAAAAAAAAAAUGAAGUAAAAACCUUUGGCUUCCCAUUUCAAAGGGAAUGAACUACCAAAACUAAAGUGGUUAUAAGGUCUCCAACGAAGUAAAUAAUUUAUGAGCCUUCUCUUUUGGCCAAUCCAUUAGCUUUCUGGUUUGCCAAUCUAGACUACCAUGAUAAAGAGCAACUUAGCUACCUAAGGUGGACAAUCCUCUGCAGCCAAUGGGUAGAUAUCCAUUAUCCUUUCUGGCCACUAGUCAUCAUAAAGACAACUGUUGCUGAGUCCCCCUCUACGAGGGUAUAUAUCCAUGGCUCUUUUCUUGCCUCUUUGAGUCCUCAAAGCAAUAAUUGGCAUUGUUUUCAGCUACCUUCAGGUCUACACAUCUUGGACUAGAAUUGAGAUAAUCAUUAAACGGAUCAAAUGCAAUGGAAUCUCCAAUGGAUCAAAUAUGAUUUUGACCUUAGAAAGCACAGAGUGUGAACCUCACCCAACUGUUUGUAAAUAAUCGUCUAUGAGUUUUCCUUUUGUUGGAAGGCAGAAAUACUAUUGAAGCACUAAAACAUAGUCACAUAUAAAAGCAUACAAGAAAUGAUAGCAGAUCCGAAGAAGAAGAAGAAAGAAAGAAAAGGGGAUUGGGGGAAAUGUCAUGGUCUGUGCUGGAUUGGUGCUUAGGGGAAGACUAAGUCCGUGACGCUAAGUUCAAAGUAUUUGCAUGGUUUGGAGUCCUAAAAGAUGGCCAACACUAAUCCUUACAUGGUUAUCUGCUGUGUAAGGAGAUGGAAAAUUAAUGACCUUCUAUUUCUUCUUUGUCCUGUUUGGUUUCCUUAGGCAACCCCUGAGAGCAUCUCUAGUUGUUAGUUACUUCUUUUGACAACUUUGGCAUGGGGAAGGCAUAUAGUUUUUUUUUGCCAUGAACUCUAAUUGCUCUAAAUCUAAGGAGUGGGUGUCAUCAGAGAGCAAAGUGGGUGGUGGGUUUAUGCAUGUUGUCCUCGAAGGCUCUCUCACUAGUUAAGGAGCAUUCCUUGUUGAGGGACACCAUCUCCUUGUUGGUUCAAUUGUUUAGCCUGUUGUGCAAAGGCAUUUCUCCAUUGUGUUAUUUUCUAUGAUAUUUUUAGAUGCACUUCCAGAAGUUAUUUAAUUUGAAACAUUACUAAGGCUGUGGUUUGUUGGAUGAAUCAGGGUUCAACAUGUAUAGUUAAUGCAGCUAGUGAAAGAGACAUGGCUGUAUUUGCAGCUGGAAUGAU